ACAGAGGGUGCAAGCGUUAAUCGGAAUUACUGGGCGUAAAGCGUGCGUAGGCGGUCUUUUAAGUUGGAUGUGAAAUCCCCGGGCUUAACCUGGGAACUGCAUUCAAGACUGGGAGACUGGAGUCUGGGAGAGGAUGGUGGAAUUUCCGGUGUAGCGGUGAAAUGCGUAGAUAUCGGAAGGAACAUCAGUGGCGAAGGCGACCAUCUGGCCUAAGACUGACGCUGAGGCACGAAAGCGUGGGGAGCAAACAGG
RNAcentral lists this unclassified non-coding RNA (252 nucleotides) under uncultured Moraxellaceae bacterium. RNAcentral describes it as "contains 16S-23S intergenic spacer region". It matches the Rfam family "Bacterial small subunit ribosomal RNA", at positions 525 to 776 of the family's 1533-position model. Lineage: Bacteria; Pseudomonadati; Pseudomonadota; Gammaproteobacteria; Moraxellales; Moraxellaceae. The record is from RNAcentral.